UCCUCGAUAGCUCAAUGGUAGAGCACCCGGCUGUUAACCGGGGGGUUGCAGGUUCGAGUCCUGCUCGAGGAGCCA
RNAcentral lists this transfer RNA (75 nucleotides) under Bacillota bacterium. RNAcentral's name for it is "tRNA-Asn". It matches the Rfam family "tRNA". From Rfam's summary of the family: Transfer RNA (tRNA) molecules are approximately 80 nucleotides in length. Their secondary structure includes four short double-helical elements and three loops (D, anti-codon, and T loops). Further hydrogen bonds mediate the characteristic L-shaped molecular structure. tRNAs have two regions of fundamental functional importance: the anti-codon, which is responsible for specific mRNA codon recognition, and the 3' end, to which the tRNAs corresponding amino acid is attached (by aminoacyl-tRNA synthetases). tRNAs cope with the degeneracy of the genetic code in two manners: having more than one tRNA (with a specific anti-codon) for a particular amino acid; and 'wobble' base-pairing, i.e. permitting non-standard base-pairing at the 3rd anti-codon position. Lineage: Bacteria; Bacillati; Bacillota. The record is from RNAcentral. RNAcentral also lists the same sequence under 2 other names.